Molecule: long non-coding RNA, 1190 nt
Organism: Cyprinus carpio carpio
Lineage: Eukaryota; Metazoa; Chordata; Actinopteri; Cypriniformes; Cyprinidae
Source: Ensembl
CCCAGUGUAAAAUAGAUGUAUGAGGGUGAAAUAUUAAAAUUCCCAGAAAAAAAAAAGAAUAAGGACACACAAGAGUCAAUGUCGUGAUGAAACCGAAGUAGCGACGGACUUUUCUUCGGUAUUGUGACACACAUCUGAUCCGAGUGUAACAAAUUAUUAAAAAAUAAUAAUAAUUGUCGGGCGGGACUUGAUUCAACGCAGCAGCUGUUGAUUGGAUGUUAAGAAGUGGGUGUGGCUCUCAAAAGUACUUACAGGGGCGGAGCUUAAGAGUAUUGAAUGAUUAGAAUUUUAAAAAAAUUAAACAUGCACAGUUGAAUUGUUCACAAGAACAUGCAUUUGCAAAUAAAUAGGGUGAAUUUUUAUUUAAUGUGCACUUCAAAAAUCAGAGUGAAUGACAAUAGGCAGGAGUGUUUGUUUGCAGUGAUUGUGAAAGCGCCAGUGUUGCAGUGGGCAGUUCUGGCCCGAGUGUUUCCUCUCUGGCACGUCAACAGUGAGUCUGCGGCCGCUCACAUAAACACUUCUUCAGCACAAUAACGAGCUCCAGCUGGAGCAGAAGAUCCUCGUGCUGCAGGGAGUGAAGCAUUCAGAGACUCAGAGGAGGGGAUGUGGAACAGAGAGCCAUUGAUAGACGGAGGAAUUCUGGGAGUUCGCCUAGUUUUACAAGACACCGUUUUCAACAAAAACUGAAAACUUUGUGUGUGUUUUGGCCGUGCAUUUGCAUGAUAACAGCGGUUUGGGUGCCUGAAAAUACCAUCUUUUGAAAACAGGUUUCAAAGUGCAAGUUAUUAAAAAUUAUAUUUCCAAGUUUUUAAACUUUUUCCAGGUUUAGUACGUUGUUGUCGUGUAAACAUAUGCUGAUUCUCUUCAGAUAAUCAGUGUUAUUCAGUAUUGAUAUACUAUUAUAGAUUUUGUUAAUAUUUUCUGCUUUCAUUUUAAUUUAAGAUGAAUUUGUUGUGUGUUUUUAAUAUAUAUAUAUAUAUAUGUCUAAAUAGUUUUUAAGUUUCAGUUUCUGUUUAUUAUUUUAGUACUUCAUCUUAAACUAAAUGAAAAUGAGAAACGUUUUCUUGGAAACUGGCAGAAAUAAAAAAUGUUUAAUGUUUUUAUAUUUAUUUAUUUUAGUAUAUUUUAUUUUACUUCUAUAGUAACAAAUAAAUGGUUUAGUUUUAGUUAAUAAUAAUAAUAAUAAUAAU